AUUCCGGAACGGGAAGAAGGAGCUGUCUCUCUCUUCUGAGGGGUAGGCAGGUGCUUCCGAAUCGCGGAAUGUAGGUGCUCAUAAGCUGGAGACCCACGGAAAGAACCUAGAAGCUCCGAGCGGUUGCAGACAGCACUGCAUUGAGCCAACGACUCCUGCUCUACUGAUGGUGAUUCCACAGCUUUGUGAGGAAUAAGUUAAGAUGAAUUACAGUUUCCCCUGGACUUCUUUCUCUCUCCUGCCGCCUUGUGAAGAAGGUGCCUGCCUCCCCUUCCACCACGAUUCUAAGUUUCCUGAAGUCUCCCCAGCCAUGCUGAACUAAUGUUAUCUUAUCUGGAAGAAGAGGAAUAGGAAAGAAAAGGAGUCAGGAAUGGAUCUUACUCAGAAGGCUGACUAGACACAGCCAGGUGGAAGAGCUCCCACUGCGGGACCAAGAUGACUGGAAUGCCCCUAACAGAUCUUCAGAGGGAAGAAACCAGGAGUGGACAGAGAGAAGACACAGAAGCUGGGCUGAAGGUAGUGAAAGCUGGGAAUGUGGCACAGGACUACUGCACACCAGGUUUUGUUCCUGGCCCACAAUGGCUCUGGGGGAUCAGGUUGAAGGAAAAUUACCCUGGAUGGAAGAUCAGAGGUAUAGAAAGAAAUGGAGAGCAAAGAAAGAGGACUGUGCUGAAUGAGAACUUGUGGUAAUUAUAUGUAUUUAUUGUGAGAAGAAUUUUUGCCUGAGACACCAUCAUCAGUCAGACCAUGAAUGUGAAAAACUGGAAAUCCAAAAGUCUCCUAUGGCUGCCUCUCAGAAAAUCGUUAAAGACAUUAUUGAUUCCAAGGCAGAAGAAACAGUAAGUGAACAACAGAAAGGUGCAAAAAAUAGUGAAACAGCUGCAAAGGUUGCAUUGAUAAAAUUAAAGUUGCAUGCUGAUGGGGAUAAGUCAUUGACACAGUAUGUCUCAUGUAAGCAACAUACAGCUGGGCUUUGUUUUUAAAAUCUAGUUUGAUAGGAUCUCUUUCAUAACUAGAAAGAAUUUUACUUCCAGGUUUUCUACUUAAAGGGAGCAAAGAGAAGAGAAAACCAAUGGUUCUUUUGCCACCCAUGGAGCAUUGGAAAGAUCAUAGAAUUUCCAGGUGCUCUAGUUAGCCUUAAAAAUGAUAACAAAUUAACAGCUAAGAAAUUAAUGUUAUGGUUAUGUCGCAUUACUUCAGGAGAAGCCUUACCCGUAGAUCAUAUUUGGAAACCUGGAUUGCUAAGGAGGAUUGGCCUUUAUAUAAUGAUGGAAAUAUUAUCUUGAAACAUUUUAAUGAUGAAGAAAAAUGGUUUUAGCAAUAUUGAUUCUUACUUGGGAUAGUGAUUUUAGGACUCAGAAAUCACAAGGAAAGUUCUAUGUACACCA
This 1388-nucleotide long non-coding RNA is filed under the name Homo sapiens (human). Its description in RNAcentral is "non-protein coding lnc-PAPPA2-1:8". The record is from RNAcentral. Lineage: Eukaryota; Metazoa; Chordata; Mammalia; Primates; Hominidae.